RNAcentral lists this long non-coding RNA (1514 nucleotides) under Vulpes vulpes (red fox). RNAcentral's name for it is "lncRNA (ENSVVUG00000018530.1)". Lineage: Eukaryota; Metazoa; Chordata; Mammalia; Carnivora; Canidae. The record is from RNAcentral.
CCCCGCGCCCGCGGAGCCCCGGCUCCCGCCUGCCCAGCCCCCUCCCGGGGAGCGAGCCGGGACCCAGGGGUGGGAGCAGAGUCGGGGCUUUGUGGCGCCGGGGGCCGAGGAAGAAUGAAACGUGCAGUUGGGAGUGUUGCUCGCGUCCCAGGGAGCAGCGCAGGCCCGAUUGUCUGCCGCCGAGAUGGCCUUUUGUUCGGAGCAUAAGGUUUAAGAAACACACACACGUUUUCUGGGGUCUCUUGUUGGAUGUAAAUGUGCCGCAUCCAGACGCUCGCGGNNNNNNNNNNNNNNNNNNNNNNNNNCGCCCCGCCCCGCCCCGCCCCGCCCCGGCGACCGGGACCGUUGGGACGCGGACCUCACCCAGACUUCUGGGCCGCCGGCACUGCCUUCGCCCCGUUUCACUCCAGACUAGCCAAGCAUCCCACGGAGAUGAUAAAGCAAACAAUAACAUCUGAUCAUGACGUCCACGAGAUAAUGUGCCCGGCAAAGUUCUUUAGGAAUCGGGAUGAGCGGGAGGGGAAGUCUGAUACCCAGGAGAUGAUCCGAGUUUCAACUCUCUGUGGUGAAAAGAGGGUGAAGAGCAGCAGAAGUGGCUCCAGGAAAAUUCAGCAAGGAUAGUUGUCCUUCAUGUUUCUAUUGUAGUACCCUUUCUUCCUGACCUUCUAUUGCUCCUCUGUGCCUAGGUACAGAAAGUGAAAAGAAGCAAUCUGACCAAUUCAUAUAUAUAUAAAUACACCAGUGUGUUAAUCUUUCCAAAGCUACCAAGAAGGCAAAAGAAGAUUGCUUCAUGGAAGGCAGUGCGGAAAGCAGGGAUUAAAAAAUAUCAUUCACUUAUUGACAAAUUUCUUGAAUGUCAAGAAUGCUUGGUAUAUAAAGAUAAUUAUCACACAGUCCACACUGGGUAUUUUGCAUGUGGAGCCAAUAUGAAUUUUUGGGAGCCAGAGUGGACUAUAGUAGGCAGAAUAAGGCUGCUUCUCUUCAAUAGAUGUAUCUGCCCUCCUCUAUUUUCUUACAUGAGGAACAAAAGGAACUUUACAGAUAGAAAUGACGUUAUGGACCUUCAAAUAGAGAAAUUAUCUUGAAUUAUCUGGAAGGAGCCAGUGUAAUGUCAUGGGCUCUGCAAAGUGGCAGAGGAAGACAGAAGUCAGUGAGACAGAUGUGAAGAACAAAAGGCAGAAGAGAUUUGAAGUGAAAAUAACCACCACUGCUAGCUUUGCAUAUGAAGAAAAUGGCUUCCACAAGCCAGGGAAUGUGUGGUCCUUGGAAGCUGGGAACUACCCUCGCUGAGAGCUGAGGAAGUCAGUCCUACAACUGCAAGGAAUUCAUUUCUGCCAACAACAUACACAAGGAAGGAAACGGGUUCUGUCCUACAGAAGUUAACCUAUAGAACUGUGACAGCCAUAACUUUGUCUGUUUGAAGUGGCUUGGUUUGUAGUAAAUUGUUAUUGCAGUUACAGAAAACUAAUACAAAUGGGAAUAAAAAGAACGCUUACCUUAAAAAGAGAAUUAAA